CCUACGGGAGGCAGCAGUGGGGGAUAUUGGACAAUGGGGGGAACCCUGAUCCAGCGACGCCGCGUGAGUGAAGAAGUAUUUCGGUACGUAAAGCUCUAUCAGCAGGGAAGAAAAUGACGGUACCUGACUAAGAAGCCCCGGCUAACUACGUGCCAGCAGCCGCGGUAAUACGUAGGGGGCAAGCGUUAUCCGGAUUUACUGGGUGUAAAGGGAGCGUAGACGGCAGCACAAGUCUGGAGUGAAAUCCCGGGGCUUAACCCCGGAACUGCUUUGGAAACUGUGCGGCUGGAGUGCAGGAGGGGUAAGCGGAAUUCCUAGUGUAGCGGUGAAAUGCGUAGAUAUUAGGAGGAACACCGGUGGCGAAGGCGGCUUACUGGACUGUAACUGACGUUGAGGCUCGAAAGCGUGGGGAGCAAACAGGAUUAGAUACCCGUGUAGUC
Molecule: ribosomal RNA, 440 nt
Filed under: uncultured bacterium
Lineage: Bacteria
Description: partial 16S ribosomal RNA
Rfam family: Bacterial small subunit ribosomal RNA
Source: RNAcentral